Molecule: long non-coding RNA, 899 nt
Filed under: Chlamydomonas reinhardtii
Lineage: Eukaryota; Viridiplantae; Chlorophyta; Chlorophyceae; Chlamydomonadales; Chlamydomonadaceae
Description: long non-coding RNA (CREI_LNC000956)
Source: RNAcentral
GUCACAUCAAGGUCGCAAGAUCGAAACCCAUCAGGAACGGUUCGGCUCCGUUACCUGUGUAGGCACUGAACAUACUUGUGCCGAACUUCCCCGAAAGAGUGCCAUCUCGGCCUUCCUAGGUCGCUGCUCUACGGGUGAGGACGCUGGUGCGGCGGGUUCUGAUGGUUUCCCCGCGAGAGCUAUCCUGCUUUCUAGAAGCCGGUCUGCGAGCCAGUUGGCGCUGAUGCGCCGGGGCAGGAGGAGGCCCCUGAUUAGGGAAUGUGCGUCACCCAGCGCCGAUCUGCGAGCCCGUGUUUCGAGGCGUUACCGUGGCCCAGUAUGGCCGAUGGUUGCAGACAACCCCCCUCCCCCAAAUUCGCUAGCCCGCCCGUGGGCUUUGUACGCGGGUGGUCUUGCGCCACGAUGCCGGAGUUGGGUGCCGGAGUCACAUCAAGGUCGCAAGAUCGAAACCCAUCGGGAACGGUUCGGCUCCGUUACCUGUGUAGGCACUGAACAUACUUGUGCCGAACUUCCCCAAACGAGCGCCAUCUCGGCCUUCCUAGGUCGCUGCUCUACGGGUGCGGACGCUGGUGCGGCGGGUUCUGAUGGUUUCCCCGCGAGAGCUAUCCUGCUUACUAGAAGCCGGUCUGCAAGCCAGUUGGCGCUGAUGCGCCGGGGCAGGAGGAGGCCCCUGAAUAGGGAAUGUGCGUCACCCAGCGCCGAUCUGCGAGCCCGUGUUUCGAGGCGUUACCGUGGCCCAGUAUGGCCGAUGGUUGCAGACAACCCCCCUCCCCCACAUACCUAACCCGCCCGUGGGCUUUGUACGCGGGUGGUCUUGCGCCACGAUGCCGGAGUUGGGUGCCGGAGUCACAUCAAGGUCGCAAGAUCGAAACCCAUCAGGAACGGUUCGGCUCCGUUAC